This is a non-coding RNA of Kockiozyma suomiensis, 98 nucleotides long. Lineage: Eukaryota; Fungi; Ascomycota; Lipomycetes; Lipomycetales; Lipomycetaceae. The record is from the annotation of a GenBank genome assembly.
UCAAUAUGUUUGGCCGAGUGGUUAAGGCGAAAGACUCGAAUUGAAUAUUUGAUAUCUUUUCUCGUUUCGAGGCGCAGGUUCUAUAUAUUUAACAUGAA